This is a long non-coding RNA of Pseudomyrmex gracilis, 1131 nucleotides long. RefSeq lists it as uncharacterized. The transcript is spliced from 4 exons. NCBI's taxonomy places the organism in Eukaryota, Metazoa, Arthropoda, Insecta, Hymenoptera, Formicidae. The record is from RefSeq and is a predicted model, not a curated record.
UGAAAUUUAUACGAGUACAGUCCAAGACAAAAGAACAACGAAAAGUAAAGAAUGACUGCGUUUAGCAGAAAUCAGCGCUCAGCAAUUGCUAAGCGUAUAUAUACGGUAUAUACGGUACCGUAUAUAUAUGGUAUAUACGGUACCAAUUUUAUGACACAAGGGAUUUAUUGAUAAAAAAUUUAAGUACCUGCCAGAAUAUGUUGGCUUGUGAUACCAGUCACAAGUUACAACAUUAUUUGUUAUAUUUAGGCGUAAGUCUACAAAACUGAUACCGUCAUUACCUGGGAGUUUGCACGUAAAUUGUAAUCUAGGGUGGUAUGAAUUAAAUUUAUGGACUAUGCUGUUUACUUCGUUAUUCGGGAUUGCUAUUACACUUUUUAAUGCUAAGUCGAUUGGUACGUUUGUGAAUAACGAUAUUACAUCUAGUGAGCACAGCAAAAAAUCCUCUUUCAUUUUAAGUCCAGAUAAAAUGUGCAAUUGAAAACUGUUUUCAACAAAAAAUGGAGGUAGUAAAGGAAGUAAAAUUAGGUACUCCAUAGGCUCUAGGUAAUAAUGCGUCACUAGAACUCAAAAAUGUUUUUGUGUCAAUGCUGAUGAAUUCUUUGAUAUGCCAUCUUUUUAGUAACGAAAAUCUGUCACCAAACUGUAAAAACUCUGAAACUUCAUUUGGAAUUGAUUUUUCAGUAAGGUUAAUAAACCAUUUAUCAUUGAGAACAAAUUUGUUGACAGGUGUCUGUUUAAAUUGUUGCGCGGUGAUUUUAAUCUCAUCAGAUUCACCAAUGUUGAAUUUUUUUAAACUGAAUUCAUAAUGUGGAUGAUAAUUUAUUUUGUUGCUAGGGUUUAUUGUAUUGUAAUGUGAAUUAGCGUUUUUAUAUUUAACAUAAUAUUUGAUUGGUUCAAUAUUGUUGAGAUUGUUGUUUUUUAAAGUUAUGAAUUAUAGCGUUUUUAUAUUUAACAUAAUAUUUGAUUGGUUCAAUAUUGUUGAGAUUGUUGUUUUUUAAAGUUAUGAUUUAGCGUUUUUAUAUUUAACAUAAGCUAACUAUGCUGUUAUAUUUAAAGCCUAUUCUACAUUGAUCGCAAGCGCAAACGCAAGGAACAGGUCUGGUAGAAUUGACUAAUCGUAUUGAUCAA